Sus scrofa (pig) is the source of this 3790-nucleotide non-coding RNA. NCBI's taxonomy places the organism in Eukaryota, Metazoa, Chordata, Mammalia, Artiodactyla, Suidae. The record is from RefSeq and is a predicted model, not a curated record.
GCGAGGAGACGGCGCUUCGAGGCCAGGGGUCGGGCGGCCGCCACCUCCUCCAGCAGCGGAGAAGGCGCAGCCGGCGGGCGCACCGGCCGCCGCAGCGACCCUGCGCGCAGGGAGGGAGGAGGAGGCGGCGGAGGAGGAGGAGAGCGGCUCAAGGAGACUUGAUUUUCGUGGAUUUGCUGCAAUUCCUUAAAUCAAACCAGGCUUUCGGGGCGUUAAAGUAAAUCGCCGGUGGCGGUGUGGAAGCCCAGCCAGGAGCUUCCAGGGGUGCUUUCCGAAAAAGAAGAGUGAAUCCGCUGGACUAAGCCAGCACGGGAUCUGAAAAACACCCAGAGGAUCCCAUCCAGGAUCUCACAGAGCUUUUAGUCAUUGCAUCUCCGUUAUAAGUCUCCAAUCUGAGAUGGUGCCUCCGUUCAGAGAGUAUUUAUCAAAAAUGUUUUCUCCCGAGAUUGUGGCUGUUGUAAAGUACAUUUGAUUGUAUAGGAGAAAGACAAUUGAACGUUAAAAAUGGAGAAACUGAGUCUCCCCAAAGGUUGCACCAUCCUUCAAGUUAUACAUAGGACUAAAAGAGCACAUGGCUUACCUAGGAGGUAAAGAUGAGAACAGCUUCUGCUUGCUGGGCACCGCCUUGAAAAGAAAUACUUUUGAUCGGCUUGGAAUGAAAUGCAGAUAAACUCUUUAGAAAACUUUCGUAGGAAAAGCGCCUCGUGUGAUCUGGAACAAAGACAUUUUAUAAUCAGAUUUAUCAAGCUGGGAAGAGGGAGUUUUUAGCGAACGGAAGCAGCAGCAUUCUGUCACCAGGAAAUACUGCUUUAUCCAGAAUGGGUAAGUGAAAAGUGGCAUUGCUCCCUAAUAGAUGUCAUAUGGUGUGGGGGGGAAUUGUAAAAUUGUUCACAGACCCCUCACAACUGUGUCGAACCAAGGAACACAUCAACAGAGCGAGGAAUUCUAAGAGGAAGCAGCCCAAGAAUACAGCAUAAAGGCUGAAAAGAAGCCAGGUAAUUAACACAGAUGAGUGGAGCGUUCCCAGUUUAGCCAAAUACAUGUAGUACAACCAGUUUGGCUUCUCCCCCCCCCCUCCUUUUCUUUUUUAUGAGGGGAAGGAAAAUAAAAGUGAGUUCUUUGGGGAGAGGUUUGCGGCAUUACCUUUCUGUGGCUAUAGAUUUCCAUUUAGUCGGAACAGUGUGCCUGAUAGAUAGUUGAAGAAAUGCUUUCAGAAUUAGUCGACUUGCCCUCCUUUUCCUCCUCCUACCCCAGGAUUUCAGAAUUUGGUUAGAAGUCUACAAAAUGGAAGUUUAAGCAAUGCAUUGGAAACAUUUCUUGCUGAUUGCGAAGGGCAGCUGAGAUGGUAAUAGAUUUAGGUUUGCAUUUGUGUCCUGAAUUUUAAGACUGUUCCAUUUGAUGACAUUAGUACAGUAAAAGGGUGGUUGUUUCUCUGUGGUUCGUUUUGAGAGAUGUUUCGACACAUGAUGAUCAGCAGUUCUUACUGGUGUGCCUGUGUCUCUCUUUCUCGGAGACCUUAAAUACAGUUUUCGGAUCUGAGAUCUGAGCUGCCACUAGGUUAACAUUUUCAGAACAGGACAAUGAGGCUUUGAGUACCUGUGUUCUGUACAGUAGGUUCUUGCUCAUGAACUGUAAGGAAACACAAUUUGCUAUCAGGGAUGAGUGCCUUGAUUUCUUGAUGUGGCUUCUUAGGAAUCGGCAAAGGGGGAUAAAGUAAGAAAAUAAGAAUGGUGGGUGGCUCCCUGUCUUUUUACCAGUUUCCCAUUGGUCCAUAGAAGCAAUCAUGUGAUGUCCCCUUAUAGAAUCAGAUGGAAAAAUACUUCGUCCUUUCACGUCUAGCAAACAUCUAGGGCAUUUGGGUGAUCUCCCUGGAUGUGUGUGUGAAGAAUCUACAUAAGUCAUGAAAACUGUUAGUGACAGAAUCAUAAGCUUUGGGUUCUAGAGGAAGCGGUGUUAUUUAUUUACUUUGUAAAGUCCCUGAUUUCAAAUUGAAAGUUUGGAUCUGCAUGGCUAACUUCGGGUUUUCCUUCUCUUACUUUCAACAUCUUAACAUCCUCACCUCAAAGGGGGAACCUGUAUGAGAACGAGGGUAGCAAUUCUGCACUUUGUCUCCUUGACAAAAGGAGGAGAUGAAGGUGGAGGAGCAGGAGGUGAAUCUAGUGGGCUCUGUUAAUUGGUCUUUUUUUUUUUCCUGCUUAUGUACUUUGAGAACUUUUUAAGAUGAUUUUUUUUCCCUCGGACUUCUUAGCUCUCAAGCCUUCUGUAUAGGUAUUUAUUUUUAAAGAAAUAGAUAAAGAGCAACUGAAGCACAGCCAUGAAGGGCCAGUCCUCUAAGAAAUGAGAUGAGUGACCUAAACUUGUGACAAGUACAAGUUACUUGACUUAAUUAAGGUGUGGCAAGGCUGUGGAACCACGCUGCUCCUUUCCCUGGAGUACACGGACUUAGAGAUCGCAAAGUCUUGAAGACAGAAAAAUGGUGACAAGGCAUUAAGCUAUUGCCAGGUAAUUUAUAUUCGACUGCUGGCUUGUGUUCACUGCUUCACAAUUAUUUUCAGCUCUGUAUUUCAUGUAAAUACUUGGGGAGAAACAUGAUGAUUUCAUAAUCUGUCUAAACACGGCCAUGCUUCAUGGAAAAAAAAAGCCUCUAUAUAAUUUUUCGGUUCUACUCAUCCAUUUAGAAGCCAUUGUUUUGCAUGACAGAAAGAGGACAAGAAGCAGGUUGAAACAACAAAUGCUAGAACAAAUUCCAGAAGCAUUCCUUGAGAUCUUCAUGCUUUCGAUUCUAGGUGUUCUUCUCUGUUAUCCGUUUAUUACUUUCCAAAAAUAACACGGAAAAUAAAUAACAGAGCAUUCAUUGCCCUGAAUGCUUUUUAAAAAGGCAUCAACAGCAGGCACGAAUCUUCCGGCUGCGAGGCUGUGUAAAGCUCCGGACUGAAGGGGCUCAGGUCAAGGGGCAGACCUCCAAAUAAUUGCGCUCCAGCCGUAUAGAUGUUGGCAUCAUCAGGAACCCGAGCACGUUCCCUUUGGGCUUGUAUUUUAAUGUUUGCUGUGGCAUGCAGUUUGGCCCAGCGAAACUUCUUGAGGUGUGUGGGGGGGUGUGUGAUUGCAAGGGGGAACUUGACAUCACUAGCGGGGGACAAGCGGCCGUUUGUCAGAAGCUAGAUAAGCCUCACGGUGUUGUUCCUAUGACAACUGAGGGGCUGGGUGUUGAAAUGUAGCUUUAAGUUCUCGGUUUGCAAAUGUCACUCAGACCUCCCACUCCAGCCUCACUGAGUAGGCGGAUAAUGAGAAGGGGGGGAAAAACCACGAAGCAACCUAAGUACCUGCAUUCAGUUCCUGUCUUCCUGGCUUGCUUUCUGUGUACCCAUCACCAUGGGAGGGGUAAACACAGGUCUUGAGCAAAGCGAUAGGUCAGGGUCACGUAAACGGAAAGGGGGUCCGAGAAGUUGCGGGAGAUAAAUAAUGACAGAUGGGGGGACUAAAGAGGCAAGAGAUGUCGGCUUCCAUGAGUUCGUGCAAAUCCGUUCUCCAGCACUGACCAGCAGUGCAAACAUCUUGAACCCGUUAUUGUAUAGCUCUUCAGCAGCUGCCCAUAUUUCCUUAAAUGCAACGUGGGGAAAAUUCCUUUGGUAGCUGAAUAGCUUACCCCGUGGGCAUAACAUUGCUGCAUCUCCCCAGGAUUGCCUGUGGCGCGCCCGGGAUUCAUUUAAGGGCCAUGUCUUUUUUUUUUGGUCUUUUUGCCGUUUUGCCAUUUCGAGGGCUGCACCCGCAGCAUAUGGAGGUUCCCAGG